UGAUUUUAGUCUCAUGAACAACAUUAGCUGAUUGUUAUUUACUAACUAAUCUUAAAACGACUGUUCAGUACAGAAAUGAAGGCCAACUAUCAUGUUUUACAGUCCUGUGGUCUCAGCCUCAGAUACUCAACUAAUCACAGAGAGCUCAUCUAAAAGCAAACAAACAAAUGAACAAAACAUUUUUCAUUUCUGUCACACACAGCUGUAUGAAACGUUUCCCGCGGUUAGUAUCAUGGUUGCUAGGCAACCUGAGCAGCGCGACGAAGGCCAGACUGUCCCAUUUCACAAGCCUCUCACUUCCGCACGCGAAGUGCGCGGACUAGGAAGUAUGCGGUCGCUGGAUUGGGACACAGCCAUGACGGGGAAACGAGACACAAGGACUCAUACAAGCACACAAACACAGACACACAGAGGGAAUCUAAUAAUCAAAAUCUAAACAGAACAACCCAGCACUAUAGUAUAAACUCAAGACUAACAAAGGCCAGGACUCUGCAGUCUAUUUACACCUACAGGCCAGUGGACACUCUUUCAAUGAUGAGGAUGUACACAUCCUGGACAGGGAGGAACGCUGGUUUGAGGGCGGAGUCAAGGAGGCCAUUUACGUGAAAAGGGAAAGACCAUCUCUGAAUCGAGGAGGGGGCCUAAGGGUACAUCUGUCACCAUCUUACAAUGCUGUGAUUGCAGCCAUUCCCCAACUCUCUGUGAAUGGUACUCAUGGUUAUUGAUCAGUGGUUGUUGAUCAAUGGUCAUCACAAUCUGCAUAUUAAUGAUCAAGAAACAGACCUCACAGCCCAUUGUGUCAGGGGGCGGGUCUGUGACCCGGCGUUUUUAGUUUAUGUGGUAUUUUUGAUUUCUUAUGUUAAUGUUUAGUAUGCGUAAUGUUGUUAGUUUGGUUAUAGUUCAGUUAUUUUGUAUUUUUGAUUACUUAUGAGAUAAUGUUAAGUUCUAGUAUUAUUAUUAGUUUGUCGUAGUUGAGUCUGAGUCUGGUUUAUGUUUGUUGUGGGUCUCUGUGUUUAUGAGUUGUUUCCUGUCUUCUGUGUCGUCUGUCUUGUCUUUAACGUGUGAGUUAUGUCCGUGCCUUCGUCCCACUUAUCUGUUUCCAGUUACCUCUCCUUGUGUUCCACGCCUCCCCAUCUGCCAUGUGUUUCAUGUCUACAUGCUCCAUUGUCAAGAUCAUGUUUCCAUUUCUUUGUCUCACCAUGUUUCCUGUGUUAAAGACUAACAAGGCUGAAGAGUGGUGCUGAGUUGUUUAUCAUCACCUGCUGCUGAGUUGGAACAUUAAUUCUGUUAAACCUGCUUCCUGCAAUAGGAGCAAAUAUCCAAUGAAAGCAGAGCAGCAGAAAGACGUGCUGAGUGUAAAGCUGUCAGCAGGGGGAAUAACACAGGGCUGUGAAUGAGUCCUGUCACUGUGAUCAGGCUCCUCCUUCUAAUCCACCAACUUAGUGUUGAUGAAGACUAAACAGAGAGAUCACAGCUUCUUUAUACUUGCUGUAGCUCACAGUUACUCUACACUGCAGAUAUGACGCCUCUGUUCAUCUCAGUGCUGCUGGCUGCUAUGUGCCUCGAAUGCAGAGCACAAAAAGACAACGUGCUGCAAGCAAAAGGAGAAGAGACUGCUGCUGAAGGAGGCACAGUAACACUUGGCUGUCUCUAUAACGUCAGCACUACAGUAGCUCCUUCUCUCUUCUGGUACAAACAGGAUGGAAACAACAGCCCCAAAUUCAUCCUGAGUCGUGUUAGUGGGGAUGAUGGAAACACAGCAGCCGAGUUCAAGGAGAGAUUUUCAUCCACACUGGAUUCCAGCAUCAGAUCAGUUCCUCUGAAGAUCCAGAAGCUUCAGCUGUCUGACUCUGCUGUGUACUACUGUGCUCUGCAGCCCACAGUGACAGGAAACACCAAAACUCUGUACAAAAACCUUUGGAGCAAAGACAACAGAAUACUCCACAACAUCCACUAGAGGGAGACACACACUGUUAAACCUCUGAUUCUUGUGUCAUUGGACUGAUGACAAAGACAACAGAGAAAUGAAGCAGUAAAGAUCAGAGACAGAGACAGAGCUGCUGUGGAAGCACAAAACUAUUUGAUUGGCUCAGCUAUUAAACUGGCCCCGCCCACUGAAGUUGAGCUCAUCCAAUGACAUUAUUUGUUGGUCAUUGUGCUGCAGUGGAAGAACAUUGUUCAUGUGCUGUCUGUCUGGCUUUAAUAACUCCAAAGACAUGUUGCUGCACCUCUUUCUGCUUCUAUCUCACAUUAUAGGUGAGUUUAAGAACAGGGAUUAAAGUUUAGUUGAAGCUGCUGCAUUAAGCAGAUAUACAGACUGCAUUUCACUACUUUUCUUC
Non-coding RNA from Pelmatolapia mariae (spotted tilapia), 2339 nucleotides. NCBI's taxonomy places the organism in Eukaryota, Metazoa, Chordata, Actinopteri, Cichliformes, Cichlidae. The record is from the annotation of a RefSeq genome assembly.